Small nucleolar RNA from Betta splendens (Siamese fighting fish), 73 nucleotides. Ensembl annotates it as small nucleolar RNA SNORD61. Lineage: Eukaryota; Metazoa; Chordata; Actinopteri; Anabantiformes; Osphronemidae. The record is from Ensembl.
GCAAUGAUGAAUUUGUGUUUUUGAUUUUUGAGCUGAAAAUGCACAGCCAAUUCCUCUAAGAAGUUCUGAGCUC